GUGCACCAGUCGCGAAAACUUUACAAUGCGGGCAACCGCGAUAAGGGGACCUCGAGUGCUGGGUUACAAACCUGGCUGUUGGGCUGCCUAAAAAGCAGUCUAUAGCAAGGGCCGGGCAAGACCGGUGCCAGCCGCCGCGGUAACACCGGCGGCUCGAGUGGUAACCGCUAUUAUUGGGUCUAAAGGGUCUGUAGCCGGCCGACUAAGUCUCUUGGGAAAUCUGGCAUCUCAAGUGUCAGGCUGCCAGGGGAUACUGGUCGGCUUGGGACCGGGAGAGGUGAGAGGUACCUCGGGGGUAGGGGUGAGAUCUUGUAAUCCUCGAGGGACCACCAGUGGCGAAGGCGUCUCACCAGAACGGAUCCGACGGCAAGGGACGAAAGCUAGGGGCACGAACCGGAUUAGAUACCCUGGUAGUCC
RNAcentral lists this ribosomal RNA (417 nucleotides) under uncultured Methanosaeta sp. RNAcentral describes it as "bacterial SSU rRNA". It matches the Rfam family "Archaeal small subunit ribosomal RNA", at positions 330 to 747 of the family's 1478-position model. The record is from RNAcentral. Lineage: Archaea; Methanobacteriati; Methanobacteriota; Methanomicrobia; Methanotrichales; Methanotrichaceae.